UAAAACGUAGGAGACAAACGUUAUCCGGAGUUACUGGGCGUAAAGGGCGUGUAGGCGGUAUGUUAAGUCUGGCGUGAAAGCUCUCGGCUAAACCGGGAGAGGUCGUUGGAUACUGGCAAACUAGAGGAUGGUAGAGGCGUGUGGAAUUCCGGGUGUAGUGGUGAAAUGCGUAGAGAUCCGGAGGAACACCAGUGGCGAAGGCGACACGCUGGGCCAUACCUGACGCUAAAGCGCGACAGCAUGGGGAGCAAACGGGAUUAGAAACCCCGGUAGUCCAUGCCGUAAACGAUGUCAGCUAGAUGUUCAAGACUCGCAAGAGGCUGGGGUAUCGAAGCAAACGCGAUAAGCUGACCGCCUGGGGAGUACGGUCGCAAGGCUA
This 379-nucleotide ribosomal RNA is filed under the name uncultured bacterium. RNAcentral describes it as "bacterial SSU rRNA". It matches the Rfam family "Bacterial small subunit ribosomal RNA", at positions 521 to 896 of the family's 1533-position model. The record is from RNAcentral.